ACUACGGGAGGCAGCAGUGAGGAAUAUUGGUCAAUGGGCGAGAGCCUGAACCAGCCAAGUAGCGUGAAGGAUGACGGCCCUAUGGGUUGUAAACUUCUUUUAUAGGGGAAUAAAAUGCAGUAUGUAUACUGCUUUGCAUGUACCUUAUGAAUAAGGAUCGGCUAACUCCGUGCCAGCAGCCGCGGUAAUACGGAGGAUCCGAGCGUUAUCCGGAUUUAUUGGGGUUAAAGGGAGCGUAGGCGGGUUGUUAAGUCAGUGGUGAAAGUUUGCGGCUCAACCGGCAACUUGCAGUUGAUACUGGCAUCCUUGAGUACAGUAGAGGUAGGCGGAAUUCGUGGUGUAGCGGUGAAAUGCUUAGAUAUCACGCAGAACUCCGAUUGCGAAGGCAGCCUGCUGGACUGUAACUGCCGCUGAUGCUCGAAAGUGUGGGUAUCAAACAGGAUUAGAUACCCUUGUAGUC
Molecule: ribosomal RNA, 460 nt
Filed under: uncultured bacterium
Lineage: Bacteria
Description: partial 16S ribosomal RNA
Rfam family: Bacterial small subunit ribosomal RNA
Source: RNAcentral